AAAAAAAAGAAACAGGCACCCCGCCGAUAAGUGCAUUAACCCAUGACAAGAGUAACCCACAUUGAAACGCCCACGAUGGUGGGGACAACGGCUUCGGAAUCAGAGUCGGAAAAUGUGGAAAUGGCAUCGCAGGCCCAAACGCAGGAUAAUCUUCUCGUAUUUUUAACGCAUUUGUAUGCCGAGUGCGUCCACCGAUAUCAGAAUGUCACAAACGAUACAGAGGACUCAUCACUCUCGCUGGGAGCAGCAACAGACUCCGAAAACGAUUUAAAGGGGAACUUUAGCACGGUGCCGCGAUAUCUGGAGAAUGCCGCACUGAACGAGGGCACCAUUGACAUGCGAAACGUGGACGAGAAGCUGGCAGAGCAGGAGGAGCUAAUGGCCACCGUUUCCAGUGCCACAAUGGCCACAAAUCAGCGGGAUAGGCGGCUCUUUUGCCCCCUGGACUUUGACGGAUAUCUCUGCUGGCCAAGGACACCGGCGGGCACUGUGCUAAGUCAAUAUUGUCCCGAUUUCGUUGAAGGAUUCAACAAGAAAUUUCUGGCCCACAAGACAUGCCUGGAGAAUGGCUCCUGGUUCCGUCAUCCGGCGACCAAUCAGACCUGGUCCAAUUACACCAACUGUGUGGAUCACGAAGACCUGGAGUUUCGCAAGUUCAUCAACGAACUGUACGUGAAGGGCUAUGCCCUCUCCCUUCUGGCCCUGCUCAUAUCGAUUAUCAUCUUCUUGGGCUUCAAAUCCCUGCGCUGCACCCGCAUUCGAAUCCAUGUGCACCUAUUCGCCUCGCUGGCAUGCACCUGUGUGGCCUGGAUUUUAUGGUACCGCUUGGUUGUGGAGCGACACGAAACCAUAACCGAAAAUCCGCUCUGGUGCAUUGGCCUGCACCUGGUGGUGCACUACUUCAUGCUGGUCAACUAUUUCUGGAUGUUUUGCGAGGGCCUGCAUCUGCACCUGGUGCUCGUUGUGGUCUUUGUCAAGGAUACGAUUGUGAUGCGCUGGUUUAUAGUCAUCAGCUGGUUCUCGCCGAUUCCUAUUGCAGCUGUGUAUGGACUGGCCAGGCAUUUCAGCAAUCCGGACAAUAAACAGGUAAUAACACUGGCACUUUAGCACUUUUUUGGCUGGAAAAACCUUUUCAAAAUGCUCUCUCAUUUUCGUUGGUCAUGCAAUUUGGGCAAUAUGCUGCCUGCCUGCCUGUCGUCUGCCUGCCUGCCUGGCUGGCUAUACCAAUGAAAAGUGCUCGAUAAGCGCGUUUCACACACGACUUGGCAAGGACAUCGAGUGACUACUGUCACCACCAACAGUAUCAUCAUCACCAUCACCAUUACCAACACCACCACCACCACUGCCACUGCCACUGCCACUACAGUAAACACCAUCCCACACCCAACCCUGAAAAUCACCAAAGACAAGGGUAAGUCAACGCUGAAAAUCUGUUUAUCAAACAAACUGAGUUUCUUCUUCUGCUUUAUUUUUUCUUUUUUUCUGUCAGCACAAAAUACUUCGGCUAAUGGCUUGGAAUUUAAUUAAAUCGCUGUAGGUAGAUCUGGCGAUAUGGAUGGAAAGCCAUGUGUAAUGUCCUGAUAUAUGAUACGAAUCGAAAGAUGCUAACCCUGCAUAAUGGACAUUUAGUGCUCCCCCUCUCUCGGCUGGGAACAAUGGCAGAUGGAAACCAAAUCGCAAUCAAAAAAAAAAUACGUGUCAAAUGGUAAAUUAUGUUUAUUACUAAAGGAGGAAAGUGCUUGCUGGGUUUGUUCUUGUUUUUCGUGGAGAUGAUUCUUCUUUGAUCUUUAAGGGCAUUCUAUAUUGGUAUUGGCGGAGAUUUAAGCUUGAAUUUAUUUUUAUAUUAAGAAAAUCUGAUUAAAAGAAGUAAGAUGUUUAAUUUCCUUAAGAAAAAAUCUGAUUAAAUUAUAUAAUGGCUUAGAAAAAGUAUGCAACUAGAAACUUUUGCACUUCUUUUUUGCAUUUACUGAAAGUAAAUUUGUUAAUUAAACUAUUAAACAUUGGCUUGUUUUUAACAUAUAUUUUUAAAACAAAAAACAGCUUUAUAAACACCUAAAACUUUUAAGAAAUAAUGUUUGCUAAUUCUUCUAUUUUUUGUAUAAUUUUUAAAAACAAAAGUUAAGUUCUAUUAACAGCCUAAAAUAUUUAACCAAAAACCCAUUCAAAGUGCUUUGCCUAGUCCUUAUUAGAAUACCAUAAUUUAGCCUUCUGAUUUGUAUACUUUUUAGUUUCCAAUUGGAAUUUCGUUAGGGGUUGAAAGAGCAACAAAAAAAAAAGGACUCUUCCUAGAUCCUGGCCGCCGGCAUCUGUGUGUGUGUGUGUGUGUGCGUGUUUGUAAAAGGACUGCAUUGGAAAUAGGGUAAAAACCUGACGCGAAAAACAAACAAACGGGCCGCCGCAUGUCCUGCCAUAAUGUCCUGUCCUGUUCCGGGGUUCAUUGAACCCCCGUGCGGCCGUGUUCGGCCUUAGGUUUGAGUUUUUCCCGCUUUUCCGCCUGUGUCUUUGCCACAUUUCCCACACCACAAUUGCCAGUUUGCCUUUUUUUUUCGCUCUCUCUCUCUCUCUCUGUCGUAAGGAUCGUGGCAUGUUUGGGUUUGGGUUUGGUUUUGGGUCCCCAACAGCUGUUACUGCGUUCGUUGAACCCGACAAAAGGUGCAAUACUGGGUUAAAAGCCAAAAGGCACUGAGCGAAAAUAGUUCUAUCUGUCUAGGAAUUGGAAGUUUUUUAAGUAGGAAUAUAAAUUGGGGAAUAUUUCCUUUGAAAAUUUGUAAAGGAAAGCUAAACUUUUAGCCUUUAAAUCUUUUUAAAAUCUUUUAAAUAUUUACACUUAUUUUUGAAUAAAAUUCUCCCCUUUUUCCCGCAGUGCAUCUGAGGCAAAGACCGAGAUGAAAAGAAAAUUGCACAAAAGGCAAAGCGAACAAAAGGAAGUGCAGUGGAAAUGCAAGGGGGCGGCAUCUCGCCCACAAGGAUGCAGGAUUCAUACCGGGGACAUCCUUUAAUUGCGCAGCAUGCAGCGUGACAACGACACCCGCUUACCCCCCUCGCUUAGCCCCCCCAACAACAACAGCAACAAAGGAAAAAAAAGACGGACGGAGAAGGCGAAGCCGAAGGAGAAAAGGAGAAAAAUGUGUAAUUGACACUUUUACGCCGAUAUAUCUGUGACCUCAUUUGCGAAUGUGUGUCGGCUGGCAUUUUGUCGAGGGCCUUGAGGAGGGUCAGGAUAGCACACAUGACUCCUCAAAGUCCUCAAAGCUAAAGGAUAAGGGAGCCAGUCCUUAAGCGGCGGAGUAUUUAAAAAGGGCGUAUUGGAUAGGAGAAAGCUAUUAGGGUGAGCCGGAGUACCAGAACUUGACUCAAUGUGAAUGAUGCAAAUUAUAUCAGGCUAAGAUAAUGGGACAGAACUCCCUCCCAUCCUACACACCCUAACAGAACUCGACCAAAGCUACAGGAAAGACAUGAAAGAAUAACAGGAUUUAAUGGUCAAAGCGGAAAGGAUUUCGAAUAUUUCACUUUAAAGUGCACAUAUUUGCAUGAAAAGAAGAGGAUAAGAGCUAAAGGGAUGGAGAGCUAAAAGGGAUGGCGUAAUUGCUUUAAGAGGCAACAAAAAAAGGAAUCACACAAGUCGCUGAACAUCAGCUAAUUUCACUCCUUCCCAAAAUCAAAAGACAGAUAGAGAGAGAGAGGAGAGCAAAAAAAAAGACUGGCACAAAGGAGGCAAAAAACUUUUAACAGCCAUCGAGUGACUUCCGUUUCCGGCGCCCGCAGCCACCCACUUGAAUGCUAAUCAGCUGAAUGGCAAAUCAGUUAAUCUAUAUGCCACCACAAAUCGAUCGAAUCACUGGCCAUAUAUAAUACGACCCACCGCCCGCCCGGCCGCACGCCCGUCAUCCAGAUAUUUAUGCGUUUCGACAGGCGCAGACACUGUGCGAAAUAAAUGCCUGAUGCUGACAUUAAGUAUACGCCCCAUAAUCACCACGUGACUGGUUUUGUAUGUACUAGAAUCCCCUGGUUUUUGUUUUUCACAGAGACAAAGACAAAACAGAAAACAGUCAAAAGGUGUGAGUGAGAUGAGAUGAUAUAACCCCAUCUCACUUGCAUAAAAAAGUAUAAAUAAAAGGACAAAUCUAACGAUGCGUUAUGCGAAUAUUUGCAUUUGAAAUUGAGAAAUGUUCUCUCUAUCAAUGUGCGUGGGUGCAAGUCAGCUGAAUACAUACAUAUGUAUGCAUAUAUACGCUUUUACUAACACAAAUACUACCGUAUACACACCACCCAUACACUUCAAUACAUGUGUGUGUGUAAGAGAGUCCUAUGUACGUGAAUUACAUGCCAAAUUUUAUAAAGGGUGCUAGAAGUAAGCUUAACCUUACAUUGCCUAAAAAAUAGUAAUCUAUAUUGAUAUUAACUUUUAGGAUAAAUAUUUUAAAGUUAUUAUUUUGUUACUUAGUUGUUAAUAUAAAAAUAAAUAAAUGGUGUCUAAGAAAGUUAGAAUAUUCAUAAAUAAUAUGA
This is an RNA transcript of Drosophila eugracilis, 4506 nucleotides long. It is a transcript of the gene named calcitonin gene-related peptide type 1 receptor, with no coding region annotated. NCBI's taxonomy places the organism in Eukaryota, Metazoa, Arthropoda, Insecta, Diptera, Drosophilidae. The record is from RefSeq and is a predicted model, not a curated record. The transcript is spliced from 12 exons.